AUUGAACGCUGGCGGCAGGCCUAACACAUGCAAGUCGAGCGGUAACAGAGAGUAGCUUGCUACUCUGCUGACGAGCGGCGGACGGGUGAGUAAUGCUUGGGAAUAUGCCUUAUGGUGGGGGACAACAGUUGGAAACGACUGCUAAUACCGCAUAAUGUCUACGGACCAAAGUGGGGGACCUUCGGGCCUCACGCCAUAAGAUUAGCCCAAGUGGGAUUAGCUAGUUGGUGAGGUAAUGGCUCACCAAGGCGACGAUCCCUAGCUGGUUUGAGAGGAUGAUCAGCCACACUGGGACUGAGACACGGCCCAGACUCCUACGGGAGGCAGCAGUGGGGAAUAUUGCACAAUGGGCGCAAGCCUGAUGCAGCCAUGCCGCGUGUGUGAAGAAGGCCUUCGGGUUGUAAAGCACUUUCAGUAAGGAGGAAAGGUUAAGUGUUAAUAGCACUUAGCUGUGACGUUACUUACAGAAGAAGCACCGGCUAACUCCGUGCCAGCAGCCGCGGUAAUACGGAGGGUGCGAGCGUUAAUCGGAAUUACUGGGCGUAAAGCGUACGCAGGCGGUUUGUUAAGCGAGAUGUGAAAGCCCCGGGCUCAACCUGGGAACUGCAUUUCGAACUGGCAAACUAGAGUGUGAUAGAGGGUGGUAGAAUUUCAGGUGUAGCGGUGAAAUGCGUAGAGAUCUGAAGGAAUACCGAUGGCGAAGGCAGCCACCUGGGUCAACACUGACGCUCAUGUACGAAAGCGUGGGGAGCAAACAGG
This 759-nucleotide ribosomal RNA is filed under the name uncultured bacterium. Its description in RNAcentral is "bacterial SSU rRNA". It matches the Rfam family "Bacterial small subunit ribosomal RNA", at positions 28 to 776 of the family's 1533-position model. The record is from RNAcentral.